AUUGGUAAUGUCAGUGUUUGGCAAUUUCUAACAUCUUUGAAGUUUACUAUUUUUUUUUAAAUUUUCCUCUCUCUAUUUAACAAAAAAUUUAUGCCUACUGAGUCAGUUUCUUAUGUGAUUGCUUGCUUGCUGAGUUUUGGUUUUACAGGUUGUAAUGGUUAUUGUUGUGAUUGGUCAAAGGACGAUUUAGUUUGAAGGAUUUAGUUUGUGUUGUUUUGUGUUUGUUGUUUUGCACAAUGUGAUUAUUUAGUUGCUGAGAUAAUUCAGAUAUGGAUUUCGAUCUAGAUGAGAUAUUACCUAGAUUGAAUAUAAUUGAUAUAAAAGAGGUUUUUCGUAGUGAUAAUUAACAGAAUAAGAGGAGCAAUAUUAUAGAUCUCAGUUAGGUUUUUCUCCCCUGUUCUAGGUCAGUUACAUCUUAUGUAGCAGUUCGAGUUGAAGCAACAAACAGGAAAAAUUAUAAGAUUUUGAAAGCUAUCAAGAACAACUAUGGAUCAAGCUAAGAAGAUAACCAUAAACUAAAACAUCAGUUUGUACGGUUCUGUGUGCAAGCUUCCUUCAUCAUGAGGAGGAGUAUGAGUUGACAUAGUAGUUAACAGUUGUAAUAUUAGUUAGUUAACAGUAUAGUUAGUUAAAUAUUAUGUGAUGAAGCACGAAAUCUGCUACCAGGGGCUCGCGGUGGUGCGAGGAGGGCCGGAGGCUCUGGAGUCCACGGCGCGUGCUCUACGUCAAAUCCCGUUAGAGGAGAAUAGGUGAUUUAGGUGUGGAAAUCGGCGAUUCUCUCUGGUAUGCUCUAGUUUGGUUGGAACUUGUGUUGUGCCUUUGAGUGGCCCCUUGGGACCCUUUUUAUAGGGUCUCGGAGGCGCACUCAGCGGUGGGUAUCGCGCCUUUUUCCAUAACGUGGCGCAUUAAUGACCCAUUAUAACGCAGGCUGGUGGCGAGUAACGACCGUAAAUCGACGAUUUAGGUAGAGAAUCGCAUAUUUAGGGGCAAACUCGCCGAGUUCUAAAGGGCGAGAUCUGCAAGAUUAUCUCGGCCUCAACUCGGAUAUUUACGGGUCAACUCGGCGAUUUGACGAUGACCUUUGUUCCACACCGUGGGAGCCUUCCGGGGGACCGACAUAUAGCGACGAAACUCUAGUCCUUGUUGAAGGGCGUUGCUGGGAGUAACUGACGUAAUCAGACAUGUCUCACCAGUACUUCGCCCUGAAGAGAGCACAAGAAACAUGCGGAUAUCGCCAGUAUCCCCCCCAAGCAAGGUUGUGUGUAACCCGCAUCAAGGCCAAAGCGACAAGAUGGAAUCGAAUCAUUGUAACCACAACGACACAAUAAUUCUGGAUCCAUUAAGGCCAAAGCGACUCUAUUUAUAGCCUUCUAUGGAUGGCCUUCUAUGGAUG
This 1393-nucleotide long non-coding RNA is filed under the name Zostera marina. RNAcentral's name for it is "long non-coding RNA (ZMAR_LNC003657)". Lineage: Eukaryota; Viridiplantae; Streptophyta; Magnoliopsida; Alismatales; Zosteraceae. The record is from RNAcentral.